Molecule: ribosomal RNA, 377 nt
Filed under: uncultured bacterium
Lineage: Bacteria
Description: bacterial SSU rRNA
Rfam family: Bacterial small subunit ribosomal RNA
Source: RNAcentral
UAAUACAGAGGGUGCAAGCGUUAAUCGGAAUUACUGGGCGUAAAGGGUGCGUAGGUGGUUAAUUAAGUCAGAUGUGAAAUCCCUAGGCUUAACCUAGGAAUUGCAUUUGAAACUAAUUUACUAGAGUACGGGAGAGGGAAGUGGAAUUUCCGGUGUAGCGGUGAAAUGCGUAGAUAUCGGAAGGAACACCAGUGGCGAAGGCGACUUCCUGGCCCGUUACUGACACUGAGGCACGAAAGCGUGGGGAGCGAACAGGAUUAGAUACCCUGGUAGUCCACGCCGUAAACUAUGAGAACUAGAUGUUAGGGGGCUUAGACCCUUUAGUAUCGCAGCAAACGCGUUAAGUUCUCCGCCUGGGGAGUACGGCCGCAAGGUUA